CCUACGGGCUGCAGCAGUGAGGAAUAUUGGACAAUGGACGCAAGUCUGAACCAGCCAUGCCGCGUGCGUGAUGACGGCUCUAUGCGUUGUAAACUGCUUUUUUACGCAGGUAAACCCCGAUACGUGUAUCUUCUUGCAAGGAUCGUACGAAUACGGAUCGGCUAACCCCGUGCCAGCAGCCGCGGUAAUACGGAGGCUGCGAGCGGUAUCCGGAUGUGGUGGGUUUAAAGGGGGCGUAGGCGGUUUGAUAAGUUAGAGGUGAAAGGCCGGGGCUCAACCCCGAAACUGCCUCUAAUCCCGUUGGACUAGAGAAGAGUAGAGGUAGGUGGAAUGCAAGGUGUAGCGGUGAAAUGCUUAGAGAUCAUACAGAACACCGAUUGCGAAGGCAGCUGACUAAACUAUAACUGACGCUGAGGCACGAAAGCGUGGGUAACAAACAGGAUUAGAUACCCCAGUAGUC
RNAcentral lists this ribosomal RNA (460 nucleotides) under uncultured bacterium. Its description in RNAcentral is "partial 16S ribosomal RNA". It matches the Rfam family "Bacterial small subunit ribosomal RNA", at positions 338 to 795 of the family's 1533-position model. The record is from RNAcentral.